This 702-nucleotide ribosomal RNA is filed under the name Clostridium botulinum C. RNAcentral's name for it is "bacterial SSU rRNA". It matches the Rfam family "Bacterial small subunit ribosomal RNA", at positions 1 to 716 of the family's 1533-position model. The record is from RNAcentral. Lineage: Bacteria; Bacillati; Bacillota; Clostridia; Eubacteriales; Clostridiaceae.
UUUAAUUUGAGAGUUUGAUCCUGGCUCAGGACGAACGCUGGCGGCGUGCCUAACACAUGCAAGUCGAGCGAUGAAGCUUCCUUCGGGGAGUGGAUUAGCGGCGGACGGGUGAGUAACACGUGGGUAACCUGCCUCAAAGAGGGGGAUAGCCUCCCGAAAGGGAGAUUAAUACCGCAUAACAUUAUUUUAUGGCAUCAUAGAAUAAUCAAAGGAGCAAUCCGCUUUGAGAUGGACCCGCGGCGCAUUAGCUAGUUGGUGAGGUAAGGGCUCACCAAGGCGACGAUGCGUAGCCGACCUGAGAGGGUGAUCGGCCACAUUGGAACUGAGACACGGUCCAGACUCCUACGGGAGGCAGCAGUGGGGAAUAUUGCGCAAUGGGGGGAACCCUGACGCAGCAACGCCGCGUGAGUGAUGAAGGUUUUCGGAUCGUAAAACUCUGUCUUUAGGGACGAUAAUGACGGUACCUAAGGAGGAAGCCACGGCUAACUACGUGCCAGCAGCCGCGGUAAUACGUAGGUGGCAAGCGUUGUCCGGAUUUACUGGGCGUAAAGAGUAUGUAGGUGGGUGCUUAAGUCAGAUGUGAAAUUCCCGGGCUUAACCUGGGCGCUGCAUUUGAAACUGGGCAUCUAGAGUGCAGGAGAGGAAAGUGGAAUUCCUAGUGUAGCGGUGAAAUGCGUAGAGAUUAGGAAGAACACCAGUGGC